Long non-coding RNA from Triticum aestivum (bread wheat), 841 nucleotides. RefSeq lists it as uncharacterized. NCBI's taxonomy places the organism in Eukaryota, Viridiplantae, Streptophyta, Magnoliopsida, Poales, Poaceae. The record is from RefSeq and is a predicted model, not a curated record. The transcript has 4 exons.
CUGCAAACACAAACCAAGCACCCGAUCUCACAACUAGUUUGUGUGUUUUUAUCUUUUUUUUUGAAAUCAUAUACAUUUUUGCAUUUUUUGUUUUUCCCAAGGAUUUAAUAAAAAAAUCAAAUUUGUUUUUUGCAUUUGAUUCUGACAGCGCAGCUCAUUUUCAAAAAAGGGGAGCAUAUUAAAGGAGAGAAGAGUUACUUGUCCAGAUUCUCGGGCACAGCAGCUGCGUCGGUGGUGCUACCCGACAAAAAGGGGGCAGGGGCAGCGCGGACGUUUUCUCCAUCGUCCUCCAGCGCCACCCCGGUCAGUGAGAUGGGGACUUGCACAUACAUGUUGUGCAAAUGCACUUGAAGAUGGUUGGGAUGCCAGAUUCAUCACAGUUUGUUGAUGCUGCACAUGUUGGACACCAAGAUUAACUGGUCCUGGUCCACAGCUGUUUGGAGUUCUUUGUGCCAUAGUUCCGUCCAGCACCUACAAAAUGAAGAGAAAACAUUGUUGCUGAGGAAUCUUCCAUACUGCUACAGGAUUGCUGUUACAAACAUGAGAAGAGAGAAAAGAAAAUCAGAUCUAGAACAAAUCACAGAAGAGAAGACGGGGGGAAAGGUGGGAGGGGGUGAAAAUCAGAGAAGAGAUCAGACGCCCUUACACUAGUGAGUUUCUCCAUGCUUGUGGGCAUGGGGUUUUGCCUGGGUUCAGUCAAAAAGUACAGUUCAUAAAGCAGAGCAGCAAAUAAGUUUUUUUAUCUUUUUCCUAUGUCGUCCAGGCCCACAAGCAAACAAUGUCAUGGCCCAGCCCAACAAACAAACAAACAAAAAAAGAGAAACCAGCCCAGGUGUUAAGC